CCUACGGGAGGCAGCAGUGGGGAAUAUUGCGCAAUGGGGGAAACCCUGACGCAGCAACGCCGCGUGAGUGAGGAAGGACUUCGGUCUGUAAAGCUCUGUUAAUGAGGAAAAAUGGUAGUUGGUCUAAUAGGCCGAUUAUUUGAUGGUACUCAUAGAGGAAGCACCGGCUAACUUCGUGCCAGCAGCCGCGGUAAUACGAAGGGUGCAAGCGUUGUUCGGAUUUAUUGGGCGUAAAGCGCGCGUAGGCGGACCUGCAAGUAAGAUGUGAAAUCUCGAGGCUCAACCUCGAAACUGCGUCUUAAACUACAGGUCUAGAAUCUCGGAGGGGGAAGGGGAAUUUCGCAUGUAGGGGUAAAAUCCGUAGAUAUGCGAAGGAACACCAGAGGCGAAGGCGCCUUCCUGGACGAGUAUUGACGCUGAGGCGCGAAAGCGUGGGGAUCAAACAGGAUUAGAUACCCUGGUAGUCCACGCUGUAAACGAUGAACACUAGGUAUUGGAGGAUUUGACCCCUUCAGUGCCGUAGCUAACGCGUUAAGUGUUCCGCCUGGGAAGUACGGUCGCAAGCUAAAACUUAAAGGAAUUGACGG
RNAcentral lists this ribosomal RNA (587 nucleotides) under uncultured bacterium. Its description in RNAcentral is "bacterial SSU rRNA". It matches the Rfam family "Bacterial small subunit ribosomal RNA", at positions 338 to 916 of the family's 1533-position model. The record is from RNAcentral.